GAUGAACGCUGGCGGCGUGCUUAACACAUGCAAGUCGAACGAAGCACUUUAUUUGAUUUUCUUCGGAAAUGAAGAUUCUGUGACUGAGUGGCGGACGGGUGAGUAACGCGUGGAUAACCUGCCUCAUACAGGGGGAUAACAGCCGGAAACGGCUGCUAAUACCGCAUAAGCGCACAGUAUCACAUGAUACAGUGUGAAAAACUCCGGUGGUACAAGAUGGUCCCGCGUCUGAUUAGCUUGUUGGCGGGGUAAUGGCCCACCAAGGCGACGAUCAGUAGCCGACCUGAGAGGGUGACCGGCCACAUUGGGACUGAGAUACGGCCCAAACUCCUACGGGAGGCAGCAGUGGGGAAUAUUGCACAAUGGAGGAAACUCUGAUGCAGCAACGCCGCGUGAGUGAUGACGGUCUUCGGAUUGUAAAGCUCUGUCUUUAGGGACGAUAAUGACGGUACCUAAGGAGGAAGCCACGGCUAACUACGUGCCAG
RNAcentral lists this ribosomal RNA (485 nucleotides) under uncultured bacterium. RNAcentral's name for it is "bacterial SSU rRNA". It matches the Rfam family "Bacterial small subunit ribosomal RNA", at positions 28 to 511 of the family's 1533-position model. The record is from RNAcentral.